RNAcentral lists this long non-coding RNA (1008 nucleotides) under Theobroma cacao (cacao). RNAcentral's name for it is "long non-coding RNA (TCAC_LNC004775)". Lineage: Eukaryota; Viridiplantae; Streptophyta; Magnoliopsida; Malvales; Malvaceae. The record is from RNAcentral.
AAAACGUGGAGUCCUUGCACAAUAAAGCAAGAUGGGCCACACCAUAACCAUGCGCAUGCCAAGCUGUAGGCGGCUUUGUCCAAGAAGUACCAUCCGACUUUAUUAUCUCUCCCUUCCCUUCUCCACUUCAGCCCUUUUUAAGUCGAUUAAUUUUUCCAUAGAGAUCAGCUGCGCCUUUGUUAAGCAACUAGAAAGAGGAAAUGAGUGAAACCAACAAGCAAAACGCCAGCAGAGAUGGUGGAAGUUCUGCAGCUUCUGGAAGCAACAGCAGCUCUCGGCAGGCAGCAGAGGCCUCCGGAAGGGAAAAACCAAUGAGGCCACCAAAGAGGGGAAGUGUGAUGAAAAGAAUUAUUGCUGAUUUUAAUAAAAGUUUGUCUUCUAACUCUCCAACCGCUUAGAUAACAGUCUCAGUUGUGGCCUUGUAUAUAUAAUCUCGAGUGAGUAAAAGGUCUCUCUUCUCUUCUUCUUGGAAGACGUUUGAUUCUAUAAAGCGAGCAGCCAGAGAAGAAUUAGCUCAAGAUGAAGUUCCUGGAUAUGUUGCUCCAAUGACAAUAGGAAGUGAGUGUCGGGUAUGUGUCCACUAAGAAUGUUCAACUUUCUUCCGAAAUUGUUCCUUAUGUUUAGGGUCCACACUCAAUAUCUAAUCUAUAUGUCAGGUAUGAGUACUUUGAAAACAAAAAAUAAAAAAAAAAAUCCGAGCAAUGAAGGUUUCUAUAGUGUAGAAGAAGUGGGUUUAAUUUCUGUGAAGUGUGGAAAGUGAAUGUACAUAUUUUAAUGUUAUAAUUCAUCCGAUCUUAAGAACAGUAUAUACUUUGAUUAGAGAGUAUAUAUACUUUAAUUUCUGUGAAGUGUGGAAAGUGAAUGUACAUAUUUUAAUGUUAUAAUUCAUCCGAUCUUACGAACGGUAUAUACUUUGAUUAGAGAGUAUAUAUACUUUAAUUUCUGUGAAGUGUGGGAAAGUGAGUAUAUAUACUUUAACAAUAAAUAAAACUUUUAUGUAUAUAUUCU